GUGAAAUCCCCGCUUCAUUAAACAUAAGAAUAUACAUUGACCAAAUUAAACACUCCGCCUCACUGCUUCUAGGGCAAAUCCCCGCUUCACCGGCGUCGUCGGCACUCAAUCCAAGCGGCCAUCGUCGUCGGCUGCGGCAAUAAGCGGCCAUCGUCGGCACUCAGACUCCUCUCCAUCUCCGUUUACAGAAGCGAAAAUGCCUUAGAGGCUAAGGUGAGUAGUGUGAAGAAAUGUAAUGAGAAGAAUUUGUCAGCACAGAGCAUUGCGGCAAGGCAAAGGAGAAAGAAAAUAACAUAGAAGACACAGGAGCUUGGGAAGUUGAUUCCUGGUGGGCAAAAGAUGAACACUGCUGAGAUGUUUCAAGCUGCUUAUAAAUAUAUUAACUUCUUGCAAUCCCAAGUUGGAAUUCUUCAAUUCAUGGGUUCAUAUCAUGUAAUUUUAGCUUCUUAAUUCUUAUAUAUAUAUGUUGUAUUAUGUUAUACUUUUUGUUUCAUUUUAGUUAGUUACGUUCUUGCCUUUUCGAAAUCUUUUACAAAAACUCUUGUUUUUUUGAGAA
Nicotiana tabacum (common tobacco) is the source of this 556-nucleotide long non-coding RNA. RefSeq lists it as uncharacterized. NCBI's taxonomy places the organism in Eukaryota, Viridiplantae, Streptophyta, Magnoliopsida, Solanales, Solanaceae. The record is from RefSeq and is a predicted model, not a curated record.